AUGAGCCUCCCAGGAGCACGCCUCCUGGCCGUCGCCAAGAACUGCACCCGCCGGCAGCUCAGCCAGAUCCAUGGCCUCCUCCUCACCUCCUCGCUCCACCGUCUCCCGGGCCUGCCCGCCCUCCUCGUCCGCCGCGCCACCGACGUCGGCGACAUGGCCCACGCCGACCUGCUCUUCUCCUCGUUCCUCCGGUCGGGGGCGCCGCCCGACGCCGCCCUCUACAACGCCAUGAUCCGCGGGUGCUCGUACCACGGCCCCCACGAGCGCGCGCUAGAGCUGUUCGACGAGAUGCCGCGCCGGGGCCUCGUCGCCGACGGCUUCACCUACCCGUACGUCCUGGACGCGUGCGCGCGGCUCAGCGCGCGGCGGCGCGGGGAGGGCGUCCAUGGCCGGGUCGUGAAGGAGGGGCUCGACCACGUGCCGGCCGUCGGGAGCUCGCUUCUCGCCUUCUACGUCUCCGUGUGUGGCGGCGGCUCGCUGGGCGACGCGCGGAGGCUGUUCGACGGAUUGCGCGUCAGGUCCGUGGGCCUGUCGAACCACAUGAUGGCGGAGCACGCCAAGGCCGGGGACGCCGGCUCCGCGCGGGGGGUCUUCGACGCGAUGGCAGACAGGGACGUCGUGUCGUGGAACACAAUGCUCGCCGUGCACGUCAAGUCAGGCGACAUCGCGGCGGCGAAGGAGCUUUUCGCUGAGAUGCCGGAGAGGGACGUCGUGUCAUGGACGACAAUGCUGAGGGCGCUGUCCGUGGCGGGCGACUUCGCCGGCAUGAGGAGCCUGUUCAGCCAGAUGCCGGAGAGGAACCUGGUGUCCUGGAACUGCGUGCUCUCGAGCUACACCCGGCACGGCAGGUUCUCGCAGGCGCUCCGCCUCUUCCCAUGGAUGCUGCUCGAAGGCCACACCCCCAACAGCUUCACCGUCGUGUCGCUCCUCUCGGCCUGCGAGCACCUCCGGAAGCUGCGGAUGGGCCGGUGGGUGCACGCCAACCUGGUGACGCCGGCGCUGCAGGCCCACGCCGCCGUCGGGACGGCGCUGGUGGAGAUGUACGCCAUGUGCGGCGACGUAGCCCGCGCGCUCGUCGUCUUCACCAAGAUGCGCGGCAAGGACGUGUUCGCCUGGAACGUGAUGAUCAGGGGCCUGGCGGUGCACGGGCGGGCCGGCGACGCGCUCAGGCUGUUCGACCUCAUGAGGCGGCAGGGCUUCCGGCCCGACCGCUUCACCUUCAUGGGCGUGCUGCUGGCGUGCAGCCACGGGGGACUCGUCGACGAAGGGCGCAGGGCGUUCGACGCGAUGCAGAGGGAGCACGGCGUCCGCCCCUCGCCGGAGCACUACGGCUGCCUGGUCGACCUGCUCUGCCGCGGAGGCGAUGUCGAUGGGGCGGUGGGAGUGGUGCGCGCGAUGCCUUGUCGGCCGGACCAGUGGGUCUGGAGAGCGCUGCUCGGCGGGUGCGGCGUUCGGGCCGGCCUCGGGUCGGCCGAGGUUCCGGCGACGGCGACGGCCACGGGUGGUUGGUCGGAGGAUGGCGAGCGUGCGCCGUUGAGCGAUCUCUUCAAGAUAAGCAACAUUGUCGACGACGAGCAGCGCGCCACCACGGCAAAGAACCCCACCAUUGCCUACCGGGUCGCCUCUGUCUGCGCCAUUAUCGAGGAGCACGACGCCAGCAAGACGCCCAUGAGCGCUAGCCGAGUUGCUGCCAUGUACUCCAUUGAAAGGUUGGAAGACUUGUGA
Molecule: ribosomal RNA, 1725 nt
Filed under: Triticum aestivum (bread wheat)
Lineage: Eukaryota; Viridiplantae; Streptophyta; Magnoliopsida; Poales; Poaceae
Description: partial small subunit ribosomal RNA
Source: RNAcentral